This 98-nucleotide non-coding RNA is filed under the name Paenilisteria rocourtiae. Lineage: Bacteria; Bacillati; Bacillota; Bacilli; Caryophanales; Listeriaceae. The record is from RNAcentral.
GAAAGCCGUAUACAUCGAGAGAUGUACGUACGGUUUGGGAGGAGACUAUCGGAAACCUAGCGUAGCAAUACGUCCAAGGCGCUGGUAGUCGACCUUAC